GAAAUGCGAUAAGUAAUGUGAAUUGCAGAAUUCAGUGAAUCAUCGAAUCUUUGAACGCACCUUGCGCUCCUUGGUAUUCCUUGGAGCAUGCCUGUUUGAGUAUCAUUACAUCUUCAAAGUAAAUCUUUUGUUAACUCAAUUGGUUUCUACUUUGGUAUUGGAGGUCUUUGCAGCUUCACACCUGCUCCUCUUUGUUCAUUAGCUGGAUCUCAGUGUUAUGCUUGGUUCCACUCGGCGUGAUAAGUUAUCUAUCGCUGAGGACACUGUAAAAGGUGGCCAAGGUAAAUGCAGAUGAACCGCUUCUAAUAGUCCAUUGACUUGGACAAUACUUUUAUGAUCUGAUCUCAAAUCAGGUAGGACUACCCGCUGAACUUAAGC
RNAcentral lists this unclassified non-coding RNA (378 nucleotides) under plant metagenome. Its description in RNAcentral is "partial contains 5.8S ribosomal RNA, internal transcribed spacer 2, and large subunit ribosomal RNA". The stretch from base 1 to 105 matches the Rfam family "5.8S ribosomal RNA", at positions 50 to 154 of the family's 154-position model. The record is from RNAcentral.